GGGAUUUUAGUAUAUUUAGUAUGGUGGAUUGCAAAUCUAUUGGGAGAAGUCUCU
RNAcentral lists this transfer RNA (54 nucleotides) under Passalurus ambiguus. RNAcentral describes it as "tRNA-Cys". Lineage: Eukaryota; Metazoa; Nematoda; Chromadorea; Rhabditida; Oxyuridae. The record is from RNAcentral.